This 256-nucleotide ribosomal RNA is filed under the name uncultured bacterium. Its description in RNAcentral is "partial 16S ribosomal RNA". It matches the Rfam family "Bacterial small subunit ribosomal RNA", at positions 524 to 776 of the family's 1533-position model. The record is from RNAcentral.
GACGUAGGGGGCGAACGUUAUCCGGAAUUAUUGGGCGUAAAGGGUGCGUAGAUGGCCUGAUAAGUUAGCAGUGGGAAAUCGAGGCUCAACCUCGUGGAAGCUGGUAAUACUGUCAGGCUCGAGUGCAGGAGAGGUUAACGGAACUCCAUGUGGAGCGGUAAAAUGUGUAGAUAUAUGGAAGAACACCAAUAACGGCGAAGGCAGUUAACUAUUCUGUUACUGACAUUGAGGCACGAAAGCGUGGGGAGCAAAACGG